UACGAAGGGGGCGAGCGUUGUUCGGAAUUACUGGGCGUAAAGGGCGCGUAGGCGGCCCCUUUUGUCGCGUGUGAAAGCCCCGGGCUCAACCUGGGAACGGCGCGCGAAACGGGGGGGCUUGAGUUCGGGAGAGGAGAGUGGAAUUCCCAGUGUAGAGGUGAAAUUCGUAGAUAUUGGGAAGAACACCGGUGGCGAAGGCGGCUCUCUGGACCGAGACUGACGCUGAGGCGCGAAAGCUAGGGGAGCAAACGGG
Molecule: ribosomal RNA, 253 nt
Filed under: uncultured bacterium
Lineage: Bacteria
Description: partial 16S ribosomal RNA
Rfam family: Bacterial small subunit ribosomal RNA
Source: RNAcentral